Molecule: ribosomal RNA, 494 nt
Filed under: uncultured bacterium
Lineage: Bacteria
Description: bacterial SSU rRNA
Rfam family: Bacterial small subunit ribosomal RNA
Source: RNAcentral
GNUUNAUUCGAUGAUACGCGAGGNACCUUACCAGGGCUUNAAUGCAAGUUGAGUGAUGUGGAAACAUGUCAGUCUUCGGACAAUUUGCAAGGUGCUGCAUGGCUGUCGUCAGCUCGUGCCGUGAGGUGUUGGGUUAAGUCCCGCAACGAGCGCAACCCCCAUCUUUAGUUGCUAGCAGGUAAUGCUGAGGACUCUAAAGAAACUGCCUACGCAAGUAGUGAGGAAGGCGGGGACGACGUCAAGUCAUCACGGCCCUUACGUCCUGGGCCACACACGUGCUACAAUGGUUGGUACAGAGGGCAGCUACUGGGUGACCAGAUGCGAAUCUCUAAAGCCAAUCUCAGUUCGGAUUGGAGUCUGCAACUCGACUCUAUGAAGCUGGAAUCGCUAGUAAUCGCGCAUCAGCCAUGGCGCGGUGAAUACGUUCCCGGGCCUUGUACACACCGCCCGUCAAACAAUGGAAGCUGGGGGUGCCUGAAGUCGGUAACCGCAAG